GAUGAACGCUGGCGGCGUGCCUAAUACAUGCAAGUCGAGCGAACGGACGAGAAGCUUGCUUCUCUGAUGUUAGCGGCGGACGGGUGAGUAACACGUGGAUAACCUACCUAUAAGACUGGGAUAACUUCGGGAAACCGGAGCUAAUACCGGAUAAUAUUUUGAACCGCAUGGUUCAAAAGUGAAAGACGGUCUUGCUGUCACUUAUAGAUGGAUCCGCGCUGCAUUAGCUGGUUGGUAAGGUAACGGCUUACCAAGGCAACGAUGCAUAGCCGACCUGAGAGGGUGAUCGGCCACACUGGAACUGAGACACGGUCCAGACUCCUACGGGAGGCAGCAGUAGGGAAUCUUCCGCAAUGGGCGAAAGCCUGACGGAGCAACGCCGCGUGAGUGAUGAAGGUCUUCGGAUCGUAAAACUCUGUUAUUAGGGAAGAACAUAUGUGUAAGUAACUGUGCACAUCUUGACGGUACCUAAUCAGAAAGCCACGGCUAACUACGUGCCAGCAGCCGCGGUAAUACGUAGGUGGCAAGCGUUAUCCGGAAUUAUUGGGCGUAAAGCGCGCGUAGGCGGUUUUUUAAGUCUGAUGUGAAAGCCCACGGCUCAACCGUGGAGGGUCAUUGGAAACUGGAAAACUUGAGUGCAGAAGAGGAAAGUGGAAUUCCAUGUGUAGCGGUGAAAUGCGCAGAGAUAUGGAGGAACACCAGUGGCGAAGGCGACUUUCUGGUCUGUAACUGACGCUGAUGUGCGAAAGCGUGGGGAUCAAACAGGAUUAGAUACCCUGGUAGUCCACGCCGUAAACGAUGAGUGCUAAGUGUUAGGGGGUUUCCGCCCCUUAGUGCUGCAGCUAACGCAUUAAGCACUCCGCCUGGGGAGUACGACCGCAAGGUUGAAACUCAAAGGAAUUGACGGGGACCCGCACAAGCGGUGGAGCAUGUGGUUUAAUUCGAAGCAACGCGAAGAACCUUACCAAAUCUUGACAUCCUUUGACAACUCUAGAGAUAGAGCUUUCCCCUUCGGGGGACAAAGUGACAGGUGGUGCAUGGUUGUCGUCAGCUCGUGUCGUGAGAUGUUGGGUUAAGUCCCGCAACGAGCGCAACCCUUAAGCUUAGUUGCCAUCAUUAAGUUGGGCACUCUAAGUUGACUGCCGGUGACAAACCGGAGGAAGGUGGGGAUGACGUCAAAUCAUCAUGCCCCUUAUGAUUUGGGCUACACACGUGCUACAAUGGACAAUACAAAGGGCAGCGAAACCGCGAGGUCAAGCAAAUCCCAUAAAGUUGUUCUCAGUUCGGAUUGUAGUCUGCAACUCGACUACAUGAAGCUGGAAUCGCUAGUAAUCGUAGGUCAGCAUGCUACGGUGAAUACGUUCCCGGGUCU
RNAcentral lists this ribosomal RNA (1372 nucleotides) under uncultured bacterium. Its description in RNAcentral is "bacterial SSU rRNA". It matches the Rfam family "Bacterial small subunit ribosomal RNA", at positions 28 to 1381 of the family's 1533-position model. The record is from RNAcentral.